GACGAACGCUGGCGGCGUGCUUAACACAUGCAAGUCGAACGAAGAGCGGCGGAAGCUUGCUUCUAUCAAUCUUAGUGGCGAACGGGUGAGUAACGCGUAAUCAACCUGCCCUUCAGAGGGGGACAACAGUUGGAAACGACUGCUAAUACCGCAUACGAUCUAAUCUCGGCAUCGAGGAUGGAUGAAAGGUGGCCUCUACAUGUAAGCUAUCACUGAAGGAGGGGAUUGCGUCUGAUUAGCUAGUUGGAGGGGUAACGGCCCACCAAGGCGAUGAUCAGUAGCCGGUCUGAGAGGAUGAACGGCCACAUUGGGACUGAGACACGGCCCAGACUCCUACGGGAGGCAGCAGUGGGGAAUCUUCCGCAAUGGACGAAAGUCUGACGGAGCAACGCCGCGUGAGUGAUGACGGCCUUCGGGUUGUAAAGCUCUGUUAAUCGGGACGAAAGGCCUUCUUGCGAAUAGUGAGAAGGAUUGACGGUACCGGAAUAGAAAGCCACGGCUAACUACGUG
Molecule: ribosomal RNA, 510 nt
Filed under: uncultured bacterium
Lineage: Bacteria
Description: partial 16S ribosomal RNA
Rfam family: Bacterial small subunit ribosomal RNA
Source: RNAcentral